CGUUAUCUAAUAGUUAUUGGGUCUUAUUAAUUAUUGGGCCUUAGAGAGUUAUUCAAAAUUGGGCUCAUUUGAAUUGGGCAUUCUUAUUGUUGGGUACAGUAGCCUUGAAGAAGAAAGGCUAGGUUUCUUCGUGCUUCAGCUCAGCGCCCCCAAGGAUAAUCGCUGGUGCUUCGUGCUCAACUCCUCCGACGACAUGAAUUUCGAGUGUCUAGGUCUCCUCCGGUGAACGGCGAUCCAAGGUAUUUACUGUAAACUUUUUUUCAGUAUGUGUGAAAUUAUUUCAGUAUUUACGGUAAGCUUUCUCACCCAUUCUUCUAUUUCCGUUGAUUGUACUCUGCCGCGGUUCAUUUCCGAUCAUCUACUCCGGUUGAAAAUGGCUUCCACCCAAUCAUCUCUCUGGCAAAGCAUCUGAAGACCACUCCACUGGAAUCACCGCUCACUUCUCCUUCUCAAUUUACUCUACCUCUCUGAUCACUAAAGCCCUCCUCCCAAGGUAAAAACUGGAAAGAGCAGUUUGGAACAGAUAUCUAAAGUUUAUGGAAAUCAAGCUGUGGUUGUAAGCAUUGAUCCCCGUAGAGUCUACAUCAAUGAUCCCAAUGAUGUGGAGUUUAAGACUGUAAGGGUCACAAAUAGAGCUUGAUCAUUCUCUGUUCGUGGAAAUCGAUCGGUGGGGCAAUCGAUUCAUUCACGGAGACUUUUGGCAGGUGGUUUAAGUGUAUAAUCGUGGUGGUAUCAUUUAAAGAUUUUUCUUGAAGGCUAGUUUGUAGCUGAGAAAAAAUAGUUAAAUAAUUUGGACAUCAUGUUUGAUAAAAGUUGGUUACGCUUCAACAGAGCCUCAAAUGAGUAUAAGGAAGGUGCUAGGAGUUUUGUAGAGACAAUAGAGAAAGAGGCUAAUUAUCCAGAAAAGUUAUUAUGUCCAUGUAAAUUUUGUCGAAACUUAAGUCACCAAAAGGUCAAUUUGCUUUAUGAGCACUUGGUCAUAAAUGGAAUUGAUCCUACAUACACAGUUUGGUUUCAUCACGGGGAAGAAGCACCUAGAAGUGAUGAUAUUGAGGAAAUGAAUUCUUUUGAUGCUUUUAAUUUGUUUAGUGCUACAAAUAUUGAUGUUUGUGAUUCUGAAGAACCUGUAGAAGGCCCUGAUGACAACUUCAUCAAAAAAUUAGAAGAUGCACAAAUCGCAUUAUAUCCACAGUGCACAAAUUACACUAAGUUGUCAGCUAUUAUUGCUUUAUAUAAGGUUAAGACAACUAAUGGAUGGUCUGACAAGAGUUUUGAUGAGAUUCUCAAUCUUUUUCAUGAUAUGCUUCCAUGUGAUAACGUGCUUCUCAAGUCCACGUACUCAGUUAAAAUGUAAUAUU
Cannabis sativa is the source of this 1358-nucleotide RNA transcript. RefSeq lists it as uncharacterized. The record is from RefSeq and is a predicted model, not a curated record. The transcript is spliced from 6 exons. Lineage: Eukaryota; Viridiplantae; Streptophyta; Magnoliopsida; Rosales; Cannabaceae.